RNAcentral lists this ribosomal RNA (301 nucleotides) under uncultured bacterium. RNAcentral describes it as "partial 16S ribosomal RNA". It matches the Rfam family "Bacterial small subunit ribosomal RNA", at positions 509 to 807 of the family's 1533-position model. The record is from RNAcentral.
CAGCCGCCGCGGUAAAACGUAGGGUGCAAGCGUUAAUCGGAAUUACUGGGCGUAAAGCGUGCGUAGGCGGUUUCUUAAGUCUGCUGUGAAAUCCCCGGGCUCAACCUGGGAAUGGCAGAGGAUACUGGGAAGCUAGAGUGUGUCAGAGGAUGGUGGAAUUCCCGGUGUAGCGGUGAAAUGCGUAGAGAUCGGGAGGAACAUCAGUGGCGAAGGCGGCCAUCUGGGACAACACUGACGCUGAGGCACGAAAGCGUGGGGAGCAAACAGGAUUAGAUACCCGUGUAGUCCCUGUCUCUUAUAC